Long non-coding RNA from Mesocricetus auratus (golden hamster), 676 nucleotides. RefSeq lists it as uncharacterized. The transcript is spliced from 3 exons. NCBI's taxonomy places the organism in Eukaryota, Metazoa, Chordata, Mammalia, Rodentia, Cricetidae. The record is from RefSeq and is a predicted model, not a curated record.
UUAACCCUAAACUGUCAGCUGAAAAUCGACAUGCUCUCCCUGGCUGUAAUUUCUGCUGCCAAGAAGAAUGGGAAGUGCGAAUAAGUUACCGGAGGAUGGCAUACAAAAAUAUUGCCCUCCAAGUAGGCUAAGACCUAUGUAGCCAAUUAACUACUUAGGAUAUGUAAUGCCCAGUGGGAGAGGAGGAUAAUGGCAUGAGCUGGCGUAGUAGUGCUUCCAGAGAGACAGAACUACAAAUACCUUGGAAUAUACCCAACUUCUCACCAAAAGGAGCUGUCAGUGGCUUCCCCGUGAAAUGGAAGAGUUGCCAGAGCUACUCACUGACCAAGCACCUACUAAAUCCAUCGCUGGUCCAUCCCAAGGCCAACCUUUUGAAAGCCGUGCAGUGCAGAAUGCAGUCAGUAGCAGCACCAGGGACGGAGUCAGGAGGUUCACUUCAUUCACUCCCGCCUUCAGGGAGUGACCCCUAGUGUGCAUGCCUGUUGCUCCAUUUCUUUCUGAGUAAUGAACACCAGGAACUGAAGACAGCAUACUUAACUACGGCUACAAAUUUUGUCCUACUCUGUGGUCAGGAAAGUUCUCCCAGGCAGAAAUUAAUGUCUAUUGUUCAAUUUACUUCCUGUAUCCCCAUAAACCUGCUCUCUUUCAUUCACAAUAAAAAUUGCUUCAUCUGGUU